AGCGUACACGGUGGAUGCCCUGGCAGUCAGAGGCGAUGAAGGACGUGCUAAUCUGCGAUAAGCGUCGGUAAGGUGAUAUGAACCGUUAUAACCGGCGAUUUCCGAAUGGGGAAACCCAGUGUGUUUCGUCACACUAUCAUUAACUGAAUCCAUAGGUUAAUGAGGCGAACCGGGGGAACUGAAACAUCUAAGUACCCCGAGGAAAAGAAAUCAACCGAGAUUCCCCCAGUAGCGGCGAGCGAACGGGGAGCAGCCCAGAGCCUGAAUCAGUAUGUGUGUUAGUGGAAGCGUCUGGAAAGGCGCGCGAUACAGGGUGACAGCCCCGUACACAAAAAUGCACAUGCUGUGAGCUCGAUGAGUAGGGCGGGACACGUGGUAUCCUGUCUGAAUAUGGGGGGACCAUCCUCCAAGGCUAAAUACUCCUGACUGACCGAUAGUGAACCAGUACCGUGAGGGAAAGGCGAAAAGAACCCCGGCGAGGGGAGUGAAAAAGAACCUGAAACCGUGUACGUACAAGCAGUGGGAGCACGCUUAGGCGUGUGACUGCGUACCUUUUGUAUAAUGGGUCAGCGACUUAUAUUCUGUAGCAAGGUUAACCGAAUAGGGGAGCCGAAGGGAAACCGAGUCUUAACUGGGCGUUAAGUUGCAGGGUAUAGACCCGAAACCCGGUGAUCUAGCCAUGGGCAGGUUGAAGGUUGGGUAACACUAACUGGAGGACCGAACCGACUAAUGUUGAAAAAUUAGCGGAUGACUUGUGGCUGGGGGUGAAAGGCCAAUCAAACCGGGAGAUAGCUGGUUCUCCCCGAAAGCUAUUUAGGUAGCGCCUCGUGAAUUCAUCUCCGGGGGUAGAGCACUGUUUCGGCAAGGGGGUCAUCCCGACUUACCAACCCGAUGCAAACUGCGAAUACCGGAGAAUGUUAUCACGGGAGACACACGGCGGGUGCUAACGUCCGUCGUGAAGAGGGAAACAACCCAGACCGCCAGCUAAGGUCCCAAAGUCAUGGUUAAGUGGGAAACGAUGUGGGAAGGCCCAGACAGCCAGGAUGUUGGCUUAGAAGCAGCCAUCAUUUAAAGAAAGCGUAAUAGCUCACUGGUCGAGUCGGCCUGCGCGGAAGAUGUAACGGGGCUAAACCAUGCACCGAAGCUGCGGCAGCGACGCUGAUGCGUUGUUGGGUAGGGGAGCGUUCUGUAAGCCUGCGAAGGUGUGCUGUGAGGCAUGCUGGAGGUAUCAGAAGUGCGAAUGCUGACAUAAGUAACGAUAAAGCGGGUGAAAAGCCCGCUCGCCGGAAGACCAAGGGUUCCUGUCCAACGUUAAUCGGGGCAGGGUGAGUCGACCCCUAAGGCGAGGCCGAAAGGCGUAGUCGAUGGGAAACAGGUUAAUAUUCCUGUACUUGGUGUUACUGCGAAGGGGGGACGGAGAAGGCUAUGUUGGCCGGGCGACGGUUGUCCCGGUUUAAGCGUGUAGGCUGGUUUUCCAGGCAAAUCCGGAAAAUCAAGGCUGAGGCGUGAUGACGAGGCACUACGGUGCUGAAGCAACAAAUGCCCUGCUUCCAGGAAAAGCCUCUAAGCAUCAGGUAACAUCAAAUCGUACCCCAAACCGACACAGGUGGUCAGGUAGAGAAUACCAAGGCGCUUGAGAGAACUCGGGUGAAGGAACUAGGCAAAAUGGUGCCGUAACUUCGGGAGAAGGCACGCUGAUAUGUAGGUGAAGUCCCUCGCGGAUGGAGCUGAAAUCAGUCGAAGAUACCAGCUGGCUGCAACUGUUUAUUAAAAACACAGCACUGUGCAAACACGAAAGUGGACGUAUACGGUGUGACGCCUGCCCGGUGCCGGAAGGUUAAUUGAUGGGGUCAGCGCAAGCGAAGCUCUUGAUCGAAGCCCCGGUAAACGGCGGCCGUAACUAUAACGGUCCUAAGGUAGCGAAAUUCCUUGUCGGGUAAGUUCCGACCUGCACGAAUGGCGUAAUGAUGGCCAGGCUGUCUCCACCCGAGACUCAGUGAAAUUGAACUCGCUGUGAAGAUGCAGUGUACCCGCGGCAAGACGGAAAGACCCCGUGAACCUUUACUAUAGCUUGACACUGAACAUUGAGCCUUGAUGUGUAGGAUAGGUGGGAGGCUUUGAAGUGUGGACGCCAGUCUGCAUGGAGCCGACCUUGAAAUACCACCCUUUAAUGUUUGAUGUUCUAACGUUGACCCGUAAUCCGGGUUGCGGACAGUGUCUGGUGGGUAGUUUGACUGGGGCGGUCUCCUCCUAAAGAGUAACGGAGGAGCACGAAGGUUGGCUAAUCCUGGUCGGACAUCAGGAGGUUAGUGCAAUGGCAUAAGCCAGCUUGACUGCGAGCGUGACGGCGCGAGCAGGUGCGAAAGCAGGUCAUAGUGAUCCGGUGGUUCUGAAUGGAAGGGCCAUCGCUCAACGGAUAAAAGGUACUCCGGGGAUAACAGGCUGAUACCGCCCAAGAGUUCAUAUCGACGGCGGUGUUUGGCACCUCGAUGUCGGCUCAUCACAUCCUGGGGCUGAAGUAGGUCCCAAGGGUAUGGCUGUUCGCCAUUUAAAGUGGUACGCGAGCUGGGUUUAGAACGUCGUGAGACAGUUCGGUCCCUAUCUGCCGUGGGCGCUGGAGAACUGAGGGGGGCUGCUCCUAGUACGAGAGGACCGGAGUGGACGCAUCACUGGUGUUCGGGUUGUCAUGCCAAUGGCACUGCCCGGUAGCUAAAUGCGGAAGAGAUAAGUGCUGAAAGCAUCUAAGCACGAAACUUGCCCCGAGAUGAGUUCUCCCUGACUCCUUGA
This 2787-nucleotide ribosomal RNA is filed under the name Escherichia coli. RNAcentral's name for it is "bacterial LSU rRNA". It matches the Rfam family "Bacterial large subunit ribosomal RNA". Lineage: Bacteria; Pseudomonadati; Pseudomonadota; Gammaproteobacteria; Enterobacterales; Enterobacteriaceae. The record is from RNAcentral.